GUACGCUGGCGGCACGCCUAACACAUGCAAGUCGAACGCAGUAGCAAUACUGAGUGGCAAACGGGUGAGUAUAAUGUGGGAAUCUGCCUUUUGGUUUGGAAUAACACGGGGAAACUUGUGCUAAUACCGAAUAAGCCUUUACAGGGAAAGUUUUAACGCCGAAAGAUGAGCCUGCACUUGAUUAGCUAGUUGGUAAGGUAAAGGCUUACCAAGGCAACGAUCAAUAGCUGUUCUUAGAGGAAGACCAGCCACAUUGGGACUGAGACACGGCCCAGACUCCUACGGGAGGCAGCAGUGGGGAAUCUUGCACAAUGGGGGAAACCCUGAUGCAGCGAUGCCGCGUGAGUGAAGAAGGCCCUUGGGUUGUAAAACUCUUUCGUCGGGGAAGAAAAUGACUGUACCCGA
Molecule: ribosomal RNA, 405 nt
Filed under: uncultured bacterium
Lineage: Bacteria
Description: bacterial SSU rRNA
Rfam family: Bacterial small subunit ribosomal RNA
Source: RNAcentral